CGGACGGGUGAGUAAUGUCUGGGAAACUGCCUGAUGGAGGGGGAUAACUACUGGAAACGGUAGCUAAUACCGCAUAACGUCGCAAGACCAAAGAGGGGGACCUUAGGGCCUCUUGCCAUCGGAUGUGCCCAGAUGGGAUUAGCUAGUAGGUGGGGUAACGGCCCACCUAGGCGACGAUCCCUAGCUGGUCUGAGAGGAUGACCAGCCACACUGGAACUGAGACACGGUCCAG
Molecule: ribosomal RNA, 232 nt
Filed under: uncultured bacterium
Lineage: Bacteria
Description: partial 16S ribosomal RNA
Rfam family: Bacterial small subunit ribosomal RNA
Source: RNAcentral